Molecule: ribosomal RNA, 253 nt
Filed under: uncultured bacterium
Lineage: Bacteria
Description: partial 16S ribosomal RNA
Rfam family: Bacterial small subunit ribosomal RNA
Source: RNAcentral
UACGAAGGGGGCUAGCGUUGCUCGGAAUUACUGGGCGUAAAGGGCGCGUAGGCGGAUAGUUUAGUCAGAGGUGAAAGCCCAGGGCUCAACCUCGGAACUGCCUUUGAUACUGGCUAUCUUGAGUUCGGGAGAGGUGAGUGGAAUGCCGAGUGUAGAGGUGAAAUUCGUAGAUAUUCGGCGGAACACCAGUGGCGAAGGCGACUCACUGGCCCGAUACUGACGCUGAGGCGCGAAAGCGUGGGGAGCAAACAGG